This 492-nucleotide ribosomal RNA is filed under the name uncultured bacterium. RNAcentral's name for it is "partial 16S ribosomal RNA". It matches the Rfam family "Bacterial small subunit ribosomal RNA", at positions 29 to 507 of the family's 1533-position model. The record is from RNAcentral.
AGUGAACGCUGGCGGUAGGCCUAACACAUGCAAGUCGAACGGCAGCACAGUAAGAGCUUGCUCUUACGGGUGGCGAGUGGCGGACGGGUGAGGAAUACAUCGGAAUCUACUUUUUCGUGGGGGAUAACGUAGGGAAACUUACGCUAAUACCGCAUACGACCUACGGGUGAAAGCAGGGGAUCUUCGGACCUUGCGCGAUUGAAUGAGCCGAUGUCGGAUUAGCUAGUUGGCGGGGUAAAGGCCCACCAAGGCGACGAUCCGUAGCUGGUCUGAGAGGAUGAUCAGCCACACUGGAACUGGGACACGGUCCAGACUCCUACGGGAGGCAGCAGUGGGGAAUAUUGGACAAUGGGCGCAAGCCUGAUCCAGCAAUACCGCGUGGGUGAAGAAGGCCUUCGGGUUGUAAAGCCCUUUUGUUGGGAAAGAAAAGCAGCAGGUUAAUACCCCGCUGUUCUGACGGUACCCAAAGAAUAAGCACCGGCUAACUUCGUG